AGAGUUUACCGAGUCUUCUGUUUUCUCAAAGAGGCUAUUUAUAUUUCACUGCUUUAUCGUUUAUCAUGGAGUUGAAACCACAUAAGAUGUAUGAAUUCUUCUGUCCACCCAAUCUUCCAAUAUGUUACCUGCUGGAACCAAUGGCCAGGCGUGCCAUGUUGCAGUCUGCAGAAGAGGAUGACCUGGACCUGGUGAAUGGUUUGAUUCGCUUUAAUGAUCUGG
Sardina pilchardus (European sardine) is the source of this 222-nucleotide long non-coding RNA. RefSeq lists it as uncharacterized. The transcript is spliced from 3 exons. The record is from RefSeq and is a predicted model, not a curated record. Lineage: Eukaryota; Metazoa; Chordata; Actinopteri; Clupeiformes; Clupeidae.